Molecule: ribosomal RNA, 529 nt
Filed under: Bacillus subtilis
Lineage: Bacteria; Bacillati; Bacillota; Bacilli; Caryophanales; Bacillaceae
Description: bacterial SSU rRNA
Rfam family: Bacterial small subunit ribosomal RNA
Source: RNAcentral
AGCGGCGGACGGGUGAGUAACACGUGGGUAACCUGCCUGUAAGACUGGGAUAACUCCGGGAAACCGGGGCUAAUACCGGAUGCUUGUUUGAACCGCAUGGUUCAAACAUAAAAGGUGGCUUCGGCUACCACUUACAGAUGGACCCGCGGCGCAUUAGCUAGUUGGUGAGGUAAUGGCUCACCAAGGCAACGAUGCGUAGCCGACCUGAGAGGGUGAUCGGCCACACUGGGACUGAGACACGGCCCAGACUCCUACGGGAGGCAGCAGUAGGGAAUCUUCCGCAAUGGACGAAAGUCUGACGGAGCAACGCCGCGUGAGUGAUGAAGGUUUUCGGAUCGUAAAGCUCUGUUGUUAGGGAAGAACAAGUACCGUUCGAAUAGGGCGGUACCUUGACGGUACCUAACCAGAAAGCCACGGCUAACUACGUGCCAGCAGCCGCGGUAAUACGUAGGUGGCAAGCGUUGUCCGGAAUUAUUGGGCGUAAAGGGCUCGCAGGCGGUUCCUUAAGUCUGAUGUGAAAGCCCCCGGC